Molecule: ribosomal RNA, 715 nt
Filed under: uncultured bacterium
Lineage: Bacteria
Description: bacterial SSU rRNA
Rfam family: Bacterial small subunit ribosomal RNA
Source: RNAcentral
GCAGUCGAGCGCGAAGUUUGGUGAAGGAUCCUUCGGGUGACUGAUCCUGCGAGUAGAGCGGCGAAAGGGUGAGUAAUACAUGGCUAACUUACCCCUGUGAUUGGAAUAACCGCGGGAAACUGCGGCUAAUACCGGAUAGUCUCAUGGAAUCACAUGUUUCCAUGAGUAAAGGUUGGGAUCCCUUCGGGGACCAUCUGCACAGGGAGAGGGUCAUGCGCUAUCAGCUUGUUGGUGGGGUAAAAGCCCACCAAGGCUAAGACGGCUAGGCGAUCUGAGAGGAUGGUCGCCCACAUCGGGACUGAGACACUGCCCGGACUCCUACGGGAGGCUGCAGUCGAGAAUCUUCCGCAAUGGGCGAAAGCCUGACGGAGCGACGCCGCGUGAGGGACGAAGGCCUUAGGGUUGUAAACCUCUUUCGCCUGUUAAGAAUGGCUGUACGUUAAUAGCGUCCAGUUUGACAAAGGCAGGUAAAGAAGCACCGGCUAACUCCGUGCCAGCAGCCGCGGUAAGACGGAGGGUGCAAGCGUUACUCGGAAUUACUGGGCGUAAAGGGUCCGUAGGUGGAUUGGAUAGUUGGAUGUGAAAGCCCUCGGCUCAACCGAGGAAUUGCGUCCAAAACUUCCAGUCUGGAGGUUGGUAGGGGACAGUGGAACUCCAGGUGGAGCGGUGAAAUGCGUAGAUAUCUGGAGGAACACCGGUGGCGAAAGCGACUGUC